This 2361-nucleotide ribosomal RNA is filed under the name human gut metagenome. Its description in RNAcentral is "bacterial LSU rRNA". It matches the Rfam family "Bacterial large subunit ribosomal RNA", at positions 481 to 2826 of the family's 2925-position model. The record is from RNAcentral.
CGACCGAUAGUGAACCAGUACCGUGAGGGAAAGGCGAAAAGAACCCCGGGAGGGGAGUGAAAUAGAACCUGAAACCGUGUGCAUACAAACAGUAGGAGCCCGUGCUUGCAUGGGUGACUGCGUACCUUUUGUAUAAUGGGUCAGCGACUUAUAUUCUGUAGCAAGGUUAACCGAAUAGGGGAGCCGAAGGGAAACCGAGUCUUAACUGGGCGUUAAGUUGCAGGGUAUAGACCCGAAACCCGGUGAUCUAGCCAUGGGCAGGUUGAAGGUUGGGUAACACUAACUGGAGGACCGAACCGACUAAUGUUGAAAAAUUAGCGGAUGACUUGUGGCUGGGGGUGAAAGGCCAAUCAAACCGGGAGAUAGCUGGUUCUCCCCGAAAGCUAUUUAGGUAGCGCCUCGUGAAUUCAUCUCCGGGGGUAGAGCACUGUUUCGGCAAGGGGGUCAUCCCGACUUACCAACCCGAUGCAAACUGCGAAUACCGGAGAAUGUUAUCACGGGAGACACACGGCGGGUGCUAACGUCCGUCGUGAAGAGGGAAACAACCCAGACCGCCAGCUAAGGUCCCAAAGUCAUGGUUAAGUGGGAAACGAUGUGGGAAGGCCCAGACAGCCAGGAUGUUGGCUUAGAAGCAGCCAUCAUUUAAAGAAAGCGUAAUAGCUCACUGGUCGAGUCGGCCUGCGCGGAAGAUGUAACGGGGCUAAACCAUGCACCGAAGCUGCGGCAGCGACGCUUAUGCGUUGUUGGGUAGGGGAGCGUUCUGUAAGCCUGUGAAGGUGUGCUGUGAGGCAUGCUGGAGGUAUCAGAAGUGCGAAUGCUGACAUAAGUAACGAUAAAGCGGGUGAAAAGCCCGCUCGCCGGAAGACCAAGGGUUCCUGUCCAACGUUAAUCGGGGCAGGGUGAGUCGACCCCUAAGGCGAGGCCGAAAGGCGUAGUCGAUGGGAAACAGGUUAAUAUUCCUGUACUUGGUGUUACUGCGAAGGGGGGACGGAGAAGGCUAUGUUGGCCGGGCGACGGUUGUCCCGGUUUAAGCGUGUAGGCUGGUUUUCCAGGCAAAUCCGGAAAAUCAAGGCUGAGGCGUGAUGACGAGGCACUACGGUGCUGAAGCAACAAAUGCCCUGCUUCCAGGAAAAGCCUCUAAGCAUCAGGUAACAUCAAAUCGUACCCCAAACCGACACAGGUGGUCAGGUAGAGAAUACCAAGGCGCUUGAGAGAACUCGGGUGAAGGAACUAGGCAAAAUGGUGCCGUAACUUCGGGAGAAGGCACGCUGAUAUGUAGGUGAAGUCCCUCGCGGAUGGAGCUGAAAUCAGUCGAAGAUACCAGCUGGCUGCAACUGUUUAUUAAAAACACAGCACUGUGCAAACACGAAAGUGGACGUAUACGGUGUGACGCCUGCCCGGUGCCGGAAGGUUAAUUGAUGGGGUCAGCGCAAGCGAAGCUCUUGAUCGAAGCCCCGGUAAACGGCGGCCGUAACUAUAACGGUCCUAAGGUAGCGAAAUUCCUUGUCGGGUAAGUUCCGACCUGCACGAAUGGCGUAAUGAUGGCCAGGCUGUCUCCACCCGAGACUCAGUGAAAUUGAACUCGCUGUGAAGAUGCAGUGUACCCGCGGCAAGACGGAAAGACCCCGUGAACCUUUACUAUAGCUUGACACUGAACAUUGAGCCUUGAUGUGUAGGAUAGGUGGGAGGCUUUGAAGUGUGGACGCCAGUCUGCAUGGAGCCGACCUUGAAAUACCACCCUUUAAUGUUUGAUGUUCUAACGUUGACCCGUAAUCCGGGUUGCGGACAGUGUCUGGUGGGUAGUUUGACUGGGGCGGUCUCCUCCUAAAGAGUAACGGAGGAGCACGAAGGUUGGCUAAUCCUGGUCGGACAUCAGGAGGUUAGUGCAAUGGCAUAAGCCAGCUUGACUGCGAGCGUGACGGCGCGAGCAGGUGCGAAAGCAGGUCAUAGUGAUCCGGUGGUUCUGAAUGGAAGGGCCAUCGCUCAACGGAUAAAAGGUACUCCGGGGAUAACAGGCUGAUACCGCCCAAGAGUUCAUAUCGACGGCGGUGUUUGGCACCUCGAUGUCGGCUCAUCACAUCCUGGGGCUGAAGUAGGUCCCAAGGGUAUGGCUGUUCGCCAUUUAAAGUGGUACGCGAGCUGGGUUUAGAACGUCGUGAGACAGUUCGGUCCCUAUCUGCCGUGGGCGCUGGAGAACUGAGGGGGGCUGCUCCUAGUACGAGAGGACCGGAGUGGACGCAUCACUGGUGUUCGGGUUGUCAUGCCAAUGGCACUGCCCGGUAGCUAAAUGCGGAAGAGAUAAGUGCUGAAAGCAUCUAAGCACGAAACUUGCCCCGAGAUGAGUUCUCCCUGACUCCUUGA